This 533-nucleotide ribosomal RNA is filed under the name uncultured bacterium. RNAcentral's name for it is "bacterial SSU rRNA". It matches the Rfam family "Bacterial small subunit ribosomal RNA", at positions 836 to 1368 of the family's 1533-position model. The record is from RNAcentral.
GGAUUCCGUGACGCAGCUAACGCAUUAAGUUCCCCGCCUGGGGAGUACGGCCGCAAGGCUAAAACUCAAAGGAAUUGACGGGGACCCGCACAAGCGGCGGAGCAUGCGGAUUAAUUCGAUGCAACGCGAAGAACCUUACCAAGGCUUGACAUAUACGAGAACGGGCCAGAAAUGGUCAACUCUUUGGACACUCGUAAACAGGUGGUGCAUGGUUGUCGUCAGCUCGUGUCGUGAGAUGUUGGGUUAAGUCCCGCAACGAGCGCAACCCUCGUUCUAUGUUGCCAGCACGUAAUGGUGGGAACUCAUGGGAUACUGCCGGGGUCAACUCGGAGGAAGGUGGGGAUGACGUCAAAUCAUCAUGCCCCUUAUGUCUUGGGCUUCACGCAUGCUACAAUGGCCGGUACAAAGGGCUGCAAUACCGCGAGGUGGAGCGAAUCCCAAAAAGCCGGUCCCAGUUCGGAUUGAGGUCUGCAACUCGACCUCAUGAAGUCGGAGUCGCUAGUAAUCGCGGAUCAGCAACGCUGCGGGAAACU